AAGUCGUAACAAGGUUUCCGUAGAUGAUUCUGCGGAAGGUUCAUUACCGAGAGCGGGGCUUCGCGCCCCCGGGGCAGUUUCGACUCCCCUACUCUUCAAGCCUGGGUGUCCCAACCGUUGUUGCUUUGGCGAGAGCAGAGGUGCCCUGCGCCUCGGCCCCGGUUUCGGCCGGUGCGCUCUCGUCGGAGCCCGAUUUCCACUCUGAUUUCAGUGACGUCCGAGCCAUACACCAUUCAGUUAAAACUUUCAACAACAGAUCUCUUGGUUCUGGGAUCGAUAAAGAACGCAGCGCAAUGGGAUAACUAAUGCGAAUUGUGGAAUUCCGUGAAUCAUCGAAUCUUUGAACCCAUAUUGCGCCCCUUGCCAUUCCGAGACGCAUGCCUGUUCCAGCGUCAUUAAACCCCUCAAGCUUGCNUUGANAUUGAGCCCUCGCCGGCGACGGCGUGCUCGCAAACUAGUGGCGGUCCAGGACGACUUCAAGCGCAGAUNAUCUUUUCGCUUCNGAGGCGCGCCUGCGGCCCANNCGNGAACCCNAUCAUUUUCGACUACUUGACCUCGGAUCAGGUAGGGAUACCCGCUGAACUUAAGCAUAUGMAUAAGCGGAGGAAAGAAACCCACAGGGAUUGCCUCAGUAACGGCGAGUGAAGCGGCAACAGCUCAAAUUUGAAAUCUGGCUCCUUCGGGGUUCGAGUUGUAAUUUGUAGAGGAUGUUUCGGGCGAGGCGCCGGUCUAAGUCCCUUGGAACGGGGCGUCAUAGAGGGUGAGAAUCCCGUCUGCGACCGGUGGUCGAGUCCAUGUGAAACCCCUUCGGCGAGUCGAGUUGUUUGGGAAUGCAGCUCAAAAUGGGUGGUAAAUUUCAUCUAAAGCUAAAUUCCGGCCAGAGGCCGAUAGCGCACAAGUAGAGUGAUCGAAAGAUGAAAAGCCCUUUGGAAAGAGAGUCAAACAGUACGUGAAAUUGUUGAAAGGGAAGCGCUUGCGACCAGACCUGCCCGCGGGUGAUCAGCCGUCCUUCUGGGCGGUGCACUCGCCCUCGAUCACACCAGCAUCGGUUCGGGCGGCCGGAUAAAGGCCUUGGGAACGUGGCUCCUCUUCGGGGGAGUGUUAUAGCCCUCGGCGCAAUGCGGCCAGCCCGGACCGAGGACCGCGCUUCGGCUAGGAUGCUGGCGUGAUGGUCGCAAGCGGCC
This 1184-nucleotide ribosomal RNA is filed under the name uncultured fungus. RNAcentral describes it as "eukaryotic LSU rRNA". The stretch from base 551 to 1184 matches the Rfam family "Eukaryotic large subunit ribosomal RNA", at positions 1 to 649 of the family's 3401-position model. Lineage: Eukaryota; Fungi. The record is from RNAcentral.